GAGUGGUUGAGGAAAGAGAGUGAGGCAGGAGGAGAAUGAUACUGCAGAGUGGUUGAGGAAAGAGAGAGAGACAGGAGGAGAAUGAUACUGCAGAGUGGUUGAGGAAAGAGAGAGACAGGAGGAGAAUGAUACUGCAGAGUGGUUGAGGAAAGAGAGAGAGACAGGAGGAGAAUGAUACUGCAGAGUGGUUGAGGAAAGACAGAGAGACAGGAGGAGAAUGAUACUGCAGAGUGGUUGAGGAAAGAGAGAGAGGCAGGAGGAGAAUGAUACUGCAGAGUGGUUGAGGAAAGAGAGACAGGAGGAGAAUGAUACUGCAGAGUGGUUGAGGAAAGAGAGAGAGACAGGAGGAGAAUGAUACUGCAGAGUGGUUGAGGAAAGAGAGAGAGACAGGAGGAGAAUGAUACUGCAGAGUGGUUGAGGAAAGAGAGAGGCAGGAGGAGAAUGAUACUGCAGAGUGGUUGAGGAAAGAGAGAGACAGGAGGAGAAUGAUACUGCAGAGUGGUUGAGGAAAGAGAGAGAGACAGGAGGAGAAUGAUACUGCAGAGUGGUUGAGGAAAGAGAGAGAGGCAGGAGGAGAAUGAUACUGCAGAGUGGUUGAGGAAAGAGAGAGAGGCAGGAGGAGAAUGAUACUGCAGAGUGGUUGAGGAAAGAGAGAGAGAGGCAGGAGGAGAAUGAUACUGCAGAGUGGUUGAGGAAAGAGAGAGAGACAGGAGGAGAAUGAUACUGCAGAGUGGUUGAGGAAAGAGAGAGAGAGACAGGAGGAGAAUGAUACUGCAGAGUGGUUGAGGAAAGAGAGAGAGAGACAGGAGGAGAAUGAUACUGCAGAGUGGUUGAGGAAAGAGAGAGACAGGAGGAGAAUGAUACUGCAGAGUGGUUGAGGAAAGAGAGAGAGACAGGAGGAGAAUGAUACUGCAGAGUGGUU
Long non-coding RNA from Oncorhynchus tshawytscha (Chinook salmon), 922 nucleotides. NCBI's taxonomy places the organism in Eukaryota, Metazoa, Chordata, Actinopteri, Salmoniformes, Salmonidae. The record is from Ensembl.